UACGAAGGGUGCAAGCGUUACUCGGAAUUACUGGGCGUAAAGCGUGCGUAGGUGGUGAGUUAAGUCUGUCGUGAAAGCCCCGGGCUCAACCUGGGAAUGGCGAUGGAUACUGGCUCGCUAGAGUGCGGUAGAGGAGAGUGGAAUUCCAGGUGUAGCGGUGAAAUGCGUAGAUAUCUGGAGGAACACCGGUGGCGAAGGCGGCAUCCUGGACCGGCAUUGACGCUGAGGAGCGAAAGCCAGGGGAGCAAACGGG
RNAcentral lists this ribosomal RNA (253 nucleotides) under uncultured bacterium. RNAcentral's name for it is "partial 16S ribosomal RNA". It matches the Rfam family "Bacterial small subunit ribosomal RNA", at positions 524 to 776 of the family's 1533-position model. The record is from RNAcentral.